GUUAUAGGGUCAAGUGAAUAAGUGCAUGUGGUGGAUGCCUUGGCGAUCACAGGCGAUGAAGGACGUGCAAGCCUGCGAAAAGCUGCGGGGAGCUGGCAAUGAAGCUUUGAUCCGCAGAUGUCCGAAUGGGGAAACCCGGCCCGUAAGGGUCAUCCCUGGCUGAAUACAUAGGCCAGAGGAAGCGAACCGAGCGAACUGAAACAUCUAAGUAGCUCGAGGAACAGAAAUCAACCGAGAUUCCCAAAGUAGUGGCGAGCGAACUGGGAGUAGCCUGCACGACUAAACCAUUUACUUAGCAAAACGGUCUGGAAAGUCCGACGAUACAGGGUGAUAGUCCCGUAUGCGAAAAGUAGAUGGCGGGUCUGAGCGUGCGACAAGUAGGGCGGGACACGUGAAAUCCUGUUUGAAGAUGGGGGGACCAUCCUCCAAGGCUAAAUACUCGUGAUCGACCGAUAGUGAACCAGUACCGUGAAGGAAAGGCGAAAAGAACCCCGGGAGGGGAGUGAAAUAGAUCCUGAAACCGCAUGCAUACAAACAGUGGGAGCCUCGAAAGGGGUGACUGCGUACCUUUUGUAUAAUGGGUCAGCGACUUACGUUCAGUAGCGAGCUUAACCGAAUAGGGGAGGCGUAGCGAAAGCGAGUCUGAAUAGGGCGAUUCAGUUGCUGGGCGUAGACCCGAAACCAAGUGAUCUAUCCAUGGCCAGGAUGAAGGUGCCGUAACAGGUAC
This 727-nucleotide ribosomal RNA is filed under the name Herbaspirillum sp. RNAcentral describes it as "partial 23S ribosomal RNA". It matches the Rfam family "Bacterial large subunit ribosomal RNA", at positions 1 to 766 of the family's 2925-position model. Lineage: Bacteria; Pseudomonadati; Pseudomonadota; Betaproteobacteria; Burkholderiales; Oxalobacteraceae. The record is from RNAcentral.